RNAcentral lists this long non-coding RNA (342 nucleotides) under Equus asinus (donkey). RNAcentral's name for it is "lncRNA (ENSEASG00005026957.1)". Lineage: Eukaryota; Metazoa; Chordata; Mammalia; Perissodactyla; Equidae. The record is from RNAcentral.
GGAGAUCAGAAACAGGGGCGUGUUCAUUGUUGUCAAGAGUCAUCUUGAAGCCUAGCAGUGUUUUCAGCAAAAUGGUGCGUAAUUUGCUUCAUGUUUCCAUGAGGAUGUUUCAUCUUGUUUAUUGAAAGAGGAAGUACAGUUAAGUCCUGUCACCGCUGGGAACCGAUUCUGUACUACUCACUCUCUAGCAAUUCAAAGGAAAAGGAAGAGAAAACUGGCUAAGAGAAACAGAAAGCAACUCUGUGAGAUAAAGAUGGAAAACCUUCAUGCCAUUUAAAUCCCUUUUAUAUAUGAAGAAAAAUGUAAUCAUAGAGAGUUUAAAAGCGAUUUCAUCAAAGCCAG